Molecule: ribosomal RNA, 2994 nt
Filed under: Floydiella terrestris
Lineage: Eukaryota; Viridiplantae; Chlorophyta; Chlorophyceae; Chaetopeltidales; Chaetopeltidaceae
Description: bacterial LSU rRNA
Rfam family: Bacterial large subunit ribosomal RNA
Source: RNAcentral
AUCAAAUGAACUAAGGCAGAUGGUGGAGACCUAGGCACUCUGAGUCGAUGAAGGGCGCAGCAACCGGCGAAACGCUUCGGGGAGUUGGAAACGAGCUUUGAUCCGAAGAUUCCCGAAUAGGGCAACCUAUUUGACUCCUUAAUGAAUUCAUAGUAAAGGAAGAGGCAACCUGGUGAAUUGAAACAUCUUAUUAGCCAGAGGAAAAGAAAGCAAACGCGAUUCCCUUAGUAGCGGCGAGCGAAAGGGGAAAAGCCUAAAUUUGUUAAGAAGUUCAUUUUUGAACUUUUUAAUGGAUGUUGUGGGAGGACUAAGUUUUCUGAUUUCAAAAGAAAACAUCAAAUGAACUUUCAUUUUAUUAAUAAAAUGAAAAACUUGUUCAAAAGAAAAAGACGAAUCAGCUGAAUCCUGUACCAAAGAUGGUGAAAGUCCAGUAGUUUAUAAUUCUUAUUAAAAAAAGUCUUAUCCCGAGUAGCAUGGGACACGUGAAAUCCCGUGUGAAUCUACGAGGACCACCUCGUAAGGCUAAAUAUUCCAGAGUGACCGAUAGCGAAAUAGUACUGCGAUGGAAUGGUUAAAUAGAACCCCUGUAGGGGAGUGAAAUAGAACAUGAAACCAUCUGCUGACAAGCAGCGGGAGGAUUCAAAAUCUGACCACGUGCCUGUUGAAGAAUGAGCUGGCGACUUAUAGGAAGUGGCUUGGUUAAGAACUAACAUUCGGAGCCGAAGCGAAAGCGAGUCUUAAUAGGGCGUAAACGGUCACUUCUUAUGGACCCGAACCCGGGUGAUCUAACCACUGCCAGGUAGAAGCUUAGGUAAAACUUUGUGGAGGACUGUACCGACUGGUGUUGAAAAACCAACGGAUGAGCUGUGGUUAGCGGUGAAAUACCAAUCGAACUCGGAGCUAGCUGGAUCUCCCCGAAAUGCGUUGAGGCGCAGUCGGUAAUGAAGGACUAUGAAAGGGUAAAGCAACUGUUUCGGUAAGGGCUACGAAAGUGGUACCAAGUCGUGGCAAACUCAGAAUAUUUCAUAUAGUUUACCAUUAACCAGUGAGACGGUGGGGGAUAAGCUUCAUCGUCAAGAGGGAAACAGCCCAGAUCACCAGCUAAGGCCCCAAAAUGAACGCUAAGUGGAAAAGGAUGUGGGAAUGCCGUGACACACGUGAGGUUAGCUUAGAAGCAGCGAUUCCUUGAAAGAAAGCGUAAAAGCUCAACGUUGUAAGCGUUCUUGCGCCGACAAUAGCCGGGACUAAGUGUUCUGCCGAAGCUGUGAGAUGGAGAAUUUUUCUCCUAUCGGUAGGGGAGCGUUCGACUCUUGGGUGAAGCAUGCGCGGAAGCUCGUGUGGACAAAGUCGAAGUGAGAAUGUCAGCUUGAGUAACGAAAACGUUGGUGAGAAUCCAACGCUCCGACAACCUAAGGGUUCCUUCACUAGGCUCGUCCAUGAAGGGUUAGUCAGGACCUAAGAUCAGGCCGAACGGCGUCGUCGAUGGAAAUCAGGUUAAUAUUCCUGAACUGAUUUGAUUAUUGGUCCCGAGGGACGAAGGAGGCUAAACUAGAACUGAUAACGGAUUGCAGUGGAAGUGUUCGAGACUUCUCGAUCGAAGAAAAACGAUUUGAGCGUUAAGACAUGAUCCCAUCUGAUUUCGAUCUCGGUUGAAUGAUGAUGCUAGUGAUGUCACACUUCCUAGAAAAGCUCGUACGAUUUGAUUUCAAAUCACCUGUACCGUAAACCGACACAGGUAGGUGGGUAGAGAAUACCAAGGAGCGCGAGAGAACUCUCCCUAAGGAACUCGGCAAAUUGACCCCGUAACUUCGGAAGAAGGGGUGCCCUCUGCAAGGGGGGCUGCAAAAGCCAGGCUCUGGCGACUGUUUAACAAAAACACAGGUCUCCGCAAAGUCGAAAGACUAUAUAUGGGGGCUGACGCCUGCCCAGUGCUGGAAGGUGAAGGAAGUUGGUUAACGCUGACGACCGAAGCCCCAGUGAACGGCGGCGGUAACUAUAACCGUCCUAAGGUAGCGAAAUUCCUUGUCGAGUAAGUUUCGACCUGCACGAAAGGCGUAACGAUCAGAGCGCUGUCUCAGGGAGAGGCUCGGUGAAAUAGACUUGUCUGUGAAGAUGCGGACUACUUACACUUGGACAGAAAGACCCUAUGAAGCUUGACUGUAUCCUGGAAUUGCGUUUGGGCUUUUUCUGCGCAGAAUAGGUGGGAGGCGUUGAAGGCUUUCUUUCGGGAAGGUUUGAGCCGUCGUUGAGAUACCACUCUGAAAGAGCUAGAAUGCUAAUGGUGUUCCUUGAAUCAGGACGCUUGACAGUUUCAGGUGGGCAGUUUUUCUGGGGCGGAAUUCUCCUAAAGGGUAACGGAGAAGCGCAAUGGUUCCCUCAGCCUGGACGGAAAUCAGGCAUUGAGUGUAAAGGCAUAAGGGAGCUUGACUGCAAGACCUACAAGUCAAGCAGGAUCGAAAGAUGGCCUUAGUGAUCCGACGGUUCCGUGUGGAAGGGCCGUCGCUCAACGGACAAAAGUUACUCUAGGGAUAACAGGCUGAUCAUUUUCAAGAGUUCAUAUCGACGAAAUGGUUUGGCACCUCGAUGUCGGCUCUUUGCAUCCUGGGGCGGUAGUACGUCCCAAGGGUUGGGCUGUUCGCCCAUUAAAGCAGAACGUGAGCUGGGUUCAGAACGUCGUGAGACAGUUCGGUCCAUAUCCGGUGUAAGCGUUAGUGCAUUGAGGGAAACCUUUUAUAGUACGAGAGGACCCAAAAGGACGCACCAAUGGUAUACCAGUUCUUGUUCCAACGGGAAACGCUGGGUAGCUACGUGCGGAAUAGAUAACUGCUGAAAGCAUCUAAGUAGGAAGCUUAUCCCAAGAUGAGUGCACUUCUUUUCUUAACUUUUUGUUUAGAAAAGUAGUAGGUCACGGUAAGACUAGCCGUUUAAUAGGUACCAGGUGUAAGGCCAGUAAUGGUUUCAGCUAAGGUAUACUAACGACCGAAAAAUUUUGAU